This 871-nucleotide ribosomal RNA is filed under the name uncultured bacterium. RNAcentral's name for it is "bacterial SSU rRNA". It matches the Rfam family "Bacterial small subunit ribosomal RNA", at positions 8 to 916 of the family's 1533-position model. The record is from RNAcentral.
AGAGUUUGAUCAUGGCUCAGGAUGAACGCUGGCGGCGUGCCUUAGGCAUGCAAGUCGAACGAAAAGUAGCAAUACUUUUAGUGGCAGACGGGUGAGUAACACGUAGGAAUCUACCCUUUGGUGAGGAAUAACGGUUCGAAAGGACCGCUAAUACCACAUAAGUCCGUAAGGAGAAAGACCGUAACUGGUCGCCGAUGGAGGAGCCUGCGUCCUAUCAGCUUGUUGGUGAGGUAAUGGCUCACCAAGGCUAUGACGGGUAGGGGGCGUGAGAGCGUGGCCCCCCACAAGGACACUGAGACACGGGUCCUACACCUACGGGUGGCAGCAACCGGGAAUAUUGCGCAAUGGAGGAAACUCUGACGCAGCGACGCCGCGUGCGGGAUGAAGGCCUUCGGGUUGUAAACCGCUGUGGAGAGGGAUGAAUUUUGACAGUACCUCUCUAGAAAGCACCUGCUAACUACGUGCCAGAAGCCUCGGUAAUACGUAGGGUGCAAGCGUUAUCCGGAUUUACUGGGCGUAAAGCGUCCGUAGGCGGUAUGGUAAGUGGUGGGUUAAAGACUCUGGCUCAACUAGAGGAAAGCUCGCCAAACUGCCAAACUAGAGCUAGUUCGGGGAUACUGGAAUUCUCGGUGGAGGGGUGAAAUCCGUUGAUAUCGAGAAGAACGCCAAAGACGAAGGUAAGUAUCUAGAACUAUGCUGACGCUCAGGGACGAAAGCUAGGGUAGCAAACUGGAUUAGAGACCCAGGUAGUCCUAGCCGUAAACUAUGAACACUAGCUGGUUGGAUGAAUUUCUGACCGGCGCAAGCUAACGCGUUAAGUGUUCCGCCUGGGGAGUACGGCCGCAAGGCUAAAACUCAAAUGAAUUGACGG